RNAcentral lists this ribosomal RNA (119 nucleotides) under Chrysemys picta bellii (western painted turtle). Lineage: Eukaryota; Metazoa; Chordata; Testudines; Emydidae. The record is from RNAcentral.
UUCCUUGGUUACACCAAAUUCUUGCACCCUGAACACACCUGAUCUCGGAAGCUAAGCAAGGUCAGGCCUGGUUAAUAUUUGGAUGGGAGACCUCCUGGGAAUAUUGGGUGCUAUGUGGU